UGAGUCGGCCGGGCGGCCGCGGCACCGCGUGAUGCGGUGACGAGGAACGUCCGGGCUCCACAGGGCAGGGUGAUGGCUAACAGCCACCCGGGGAAACCCGCGGGAAAGUGCCACAGAAACAAGACCGCCGCUGGCGCGAAGAACACUUCGCACCAGCGGUCAGGGUGAAAAGGUGGGGUAAGAGCCCACCAGUAGGCCAGGUGACUGGUCUAGCUAGGUAAACCCCACCCGGAGCAAAACCGAGCAGCAAGUACGAGCGGCCCGCUCCACGCUUGCGGGUAGGUUGCUUGAGGCCAGUGGCAACACUGGUCCUAGAGGAAUGGUCGCCGCUGCCGACUUCGGUCAGCAGGACAGAACCCGGCGUACAGGCCGGCUCAUCUG
Molecule: non-coding RNA, 381 nt
Organism: Actinomyces sp. HMSC065F12
Lineage: Bacteria; Bacillati; Actinomycetota; Actinomycetes; Actinomycetales; Actinomycetaceae
Source: Rfam